AAAGGAAUAGACGGGGGCCCGCACAAGCAGCGGAGCGUGUGGUUUAAUUCGAUGCAACACGAAAAACCUCACCAGGGCUUGACAUGUCGGAAGUAGUGAACCGAAAGGGGAGCGAACCGUUGAGUCGGUAGCCGUCACAGGUGCUGCAUGGCUGUCGUCAGCUCGUGCCGUGAGGUGUAUGGUUAAGUCCUGCAACGAGCGCAACCCUCAUUGCUAGUUGUUUUCUCUAGCGAGACUGCCUCGCAAAACGGGGAGGAAGGUGGGGAUGACGUCAAGUCAGCAUGGCCUUUAUGCCCUGGGCUACACACACGCUACAAUGGGUGGCACAGCAGGUUGCAACAACGCGAGUUGAAGCUAAUCCCCAAAGCCAUCCUCAGUACAGAUCGCAGGCUGCAACCCGCCUGCGUGAAGUCGGAGUUGCUAGUAACCGCAUAUCAGCAUGGUGCGGUGAAUACGUUCUCGGGCCUUGUACACACCGCCCGU
RNAcentral lists this ribosomal RNA (483 nucleotides) under uncultured bacterium. RNAcentral's name for it is "bacterial SSU rRNA". It matches the Rfam family "Bacterial small subunit ribosomal RNA", at positions 903 to 1397 of the family's 1533-position model. The record is from RNAcentral.